This is an RNA transcript of Antechinus flavipes (yellow-footed antechinus), 1235 nucleotides long. It is a transcript of the gene named apolipoprotein C1, with no coding region annotated. Lineage: Eukaryota; Metazoa; Chordata; Mammalia; Dasyuromorphia; Dasyuridae. The transcript is spliced from 6 exons. The record is from RefSeq and is a predicted model, not a curated record.
CACACAGUUACAGCGUCCGAGCCCUCUUAUAACUGCAGGCCCCUGGACCCUCCCACCCACACCCAACUCAGCCUGCCAGGUCCCUCUUCUGUUGUCACCUGAGAGCUCCGCCGUCCUCAGCCACCUGCCUUCCCAGCCCCACACCUUGGAAGAGCCCAUCAUGAAACCGUUCCUGUCCUUCACGGUGCUGGCGGUACUUCUGUACUUUUUGGCAGAGGGCCCCAGCCCAGCCCAGGCUUCCUCCAGCGUGGCCGAGGGCUUUGACCAGUUCCAGCACAAGCUGAAGGAGCUGUCAGACAAAGCCAAGUCCGUCAUCAGCCAGAUCCAGCACAGCGAAUUCUCCACCAAAACUAGGAACUGGUUCAAGCAGAGCUUCCAGAAAAUAAAGGACAAAAUAGACUCGACCUUCUCCAAGAAUCACUAGGGAGUCCGUCCCCACUCCUCAUCCUCCACCCGACUCCCAGAAGCCGACAUCCUUCCCAGCUGAAGAAAGAGGCUUCUGAAUGUUCCCUCUUCCUCCCGUCUGCUCUCUCCAGCCCCUGAGCCUUUGUUCACUGACUCAAAUAUAAUAAAGGUUUUAAAACCCCCGAUAUCUGUGUGUGUGUGUGUGUGUGUGAGAGAGAUAGAGACAGAGACAGAGAGAGAGAAGGGGAGGGAUAGAUGGAACACUAAGGCUCACAGAGCAUGAGCCUUCAGGUUGGCAGAUCGGCUUAGAGACUUGUUAUCUGCUCUUCACAACCGCCUUUCAAGAUAGGUCCAGUUAUCGUCCCUGUUUUGUAGAUGGAAGAGCCCGAGCGUCAGGUUAAAAAGGUUGCCCCGGUUAGUAAGGCAUUUCCAAUCCGGGUCUCCCGGGUUCCUCGGCAGCUGCCCUGGGAAUUGGUUUGCAAGUUCCAGAGGAGAUCUGAGAACGCUCACAACCAGAACCCAAAAGAGCCCCACAGGCUAGAACCCGGUUCUAAUGGAAACUGAAAACUAAUCGGGCUGAUUUGAUUUGCUUUUAAAAGUCCACAUCCCUAGUAGGAGGUGGAGGAAGUGCCUGUUCCCAGGAAGAAGGUGUGAAGCUCUCACAGGGCGGGAUGGCAGUGGGAGUGAAAAUGCUCUGGGUGCUGGGUAGGGCUCCGUGAGAAAGCCAGAGAAGCACAUUCAAAAAUGACCGUUGGAAGGGGAGCAACGAAUGCAGGGACAGGUUGGAGCCAGGCUGCGGAGGGUUUGAAUGGCAAUGAUUUCCCAGGGGC